This 429-nucleotide ribosomal RNA is filed under the name Bacteroidota bacterium. Its description in RNAcentral is "Bacteroidetes bacterium partial 16S ribosomal RNA". It matches the Rfam family "Bacterial small subunit ribosomal RNA", at positions 355 to 776 of the family's 1533-position model. The record is from RNAcentral. Lineage: Bacteria; Pseudomonadati; Bacteroidota.
UAGGGAAUCUUCCGCAAUGGACGCAAGUCUGACGGAGCAACGCCGCGUGAGUGAAGAAGGAUUUCGGUUCGUAAAACUCUGUUGUUAGAGAAGAACAGCGCAUAGAGUAACUGUUAUGCGUGUGACGGUAUCUAACCAGAAAGCCACGGCUAACUACGUGCCAGCAGCCGCGGUAAUACGUAGGUGGCAAGCGUUGUCCGGAUUUAUUGGGCGUAAAGCGCGCGUAGGCGGUUUUUUAAGUCUGAUGUGAAAGCCCACGGCUCAACCGUGGAGGGUCAUUGGAAACUGGAAAACUUGAGUGCAGAAGAGGAAAGUGGAAUUCCAUGUGUAGCGGUGAAAUGCGCAGAGAUAUGGAGGAACACCAGUGGCGAAGGCGACUUUCUGGUCUGUAACUGACGCGGAUGUGCGAAAGCGUGGGAAUCAAACAGG